Small nuclear RNA from Sorex fumeus (smoky shrew), 103 nucleotides. Lineage: Eukaryota; Metazoa; Chordata; Mammalia; Eulipotyphla; Soricidae. The record is from RefSeq and is a predicted model, not a curated record.
UUGCUUCAGCAGCACAUAUACUAAAAUUGGAAUGAUACAGAGAAGAUCAGCGUGGCCCCUGUGCAAGGAUGACAUGCAAAUUCAUGAAGCGCUCCAUAUUUUU